UCUUCUUUUUUUUUUUUUUUCCUCAACUUGCUCCUUUUCUGUUUUAUUUAUUUAAUUAUUUUUAAUUUUCAAUAUAUAUCUACACAAUUUUUUUUUUCUUUUGGUCUCAUUUGCUCUAAUAUUUGUGGUUUCUGUUUGGCAAACCAUGUACAUUCGUUGUAGAGAAGAAAAGAAAAAUGUUGACAGUCCAAAUUAGGUUGAAUUUGAUAUUUGAUUCAUUCAACCAAAAGACAUCUUCUUUGUUGAAUUUUUGUUAAUUU
RNAcentral lists this unclassified non-coding RNA (260 nucleotides) under Hevea brasiliensis (rubber tree). Lineage: Eukaryota; Viridiplantae; Streptophyta; Magnoliopsida; Malpighiales; Euphorbiaceae. The record is from RNAcentral.